UCUCUCAUUUAAUUAAGCCAAAACCUAAUUCCCUUUUCCUCUCAAAUCGCCGCCUGUCUCCACCACAGCUCCGUCGCCCGAAAAUCGCCUUACGGCGGCGGAGCACCUCCAAAUUCCGCCAAAUCUUGACCCUACGACCUACAUCACCUCCUCAUCCUUGUUCCACUGUUAAUUUCACCAAAAGACCACCCAAUUUGGCUGAAUUUCAAAUCCAGAAAAUAAAAAUUCGAACUUUUUCCAUUUUUGCCCAAAUUUCUGAUUUAAACCCUCAAUUCAUAUCAAAACCUGUAUGAAUUCCUCAGUUUGCCAACAAGGGAGUUGUUCUUGAAUAUCAGAAGCCUUCUGUCUUGGAUUUGGUCGAAUUUCAGGAGAACAACCUUCGAGUGUUCCAAUUUCUUCGAGCCUCUGUUUCACUUCUUUUGGCACAUGGUGGGGAUUGUCGCAUGAAUUAUUAGCUACGAACGAAGGUUCGGCUAAUAUUCGUGUCACAAUUCUCACCGUUUGGUCAAGCUUUGGAUUCACCGGAGUUCAAGUUCGACUCAGAGUCGUCUUUGUUCUUUAGGACUUCGAAGUUUAUCUGGGGCUCCAUCGGUACAUCACUUUGUUACCCUAUUGAUUAUGAAGUGAAAAAUUGAGAAAUCAAUCGAUUUGGGAGAAUUGAAGCAUGAAAACUCUUUCUGUUUCUUUAUUUUUCUUCUGAUUUGUUCUCUAUGUUCACUAUUAGCCUUUUGUCUAAGUUAGCUUUUCAUAUAUGGUUUGUAAUUAUUAGCAGAAAUGACAAGGUAUUCAUAUGUUGGAUUUUCGUUACAUCUCCAUGAUUCUCACAUGUUUGAAUGAUGUUCUGCUUAUUAAUAGAGAUUCCAUGUCCUAGGUUCACUACUGUUUCAUUUUUAGCUUCAGGUAUUCAUGGUUUACUCUGUAAGCUUUACAUGGAGUUUGUAUUAAUUGUACUGGUCGAAUUCUGCAUCAACCAUGUUGGUUAGACUGUA
Long non-coding RNA from Nicotiana attenuata, 989 nucleotides. RefSeq lists it as uncharacterized. Lineage: Eukaryota; Viridiplantae; Streptophyta; Magnoliopsida; Solanales; Solanaceae. The transcript has 2 exons. The record is from RefSeq and is a predicted model, not a curated record.